RNAcentral lists this transfer RNA (17 nucleotides) under Barbilophozia hatcheri. Its description in RNAcentral is "partial tRNA-Phe". The record is from RNAcentral. Lineage: Eukaryota; Viridiplantae; Streptophyta; Jungermanniopsida; Jungermanniales; Anastrophyllaceae.
AAGUGCCGGGAUAGCUC